GUGCUUGCUUCAGCAGCACAUAUGCUAAAAUUGGAAUAAUGAAGAGAAGAUGAGCAUGGCCCCUUGUGCAAGGAUGACAUGCAAAUUCGUGAAGCAUUCCAUAUUUUU
Small nuclear RNA from Leptonychotes weddellii (Weddell seal), 108 nucleotides. The record is from RefSeq and is a predicted model, not a curated record. Lineage: Eukaryota; Metazoa; Chordata; Mammalia; Carnivora; Phocidae.